This 352-nucleotide ribosomal RNA is filed under the name uncultured bacterium. RNAcentral's name for it is "bacterial SSU rRNA". It matches the Rfam family "Bacterial small subunit ribosomal RNA", at positions 8 to 350 of the family's 1533-position model. The record is from RNAcentral.
AGAGUUUGAUCCUGGCUCAGGAUGAACGCUAGCGGCAGGCCUAACACAUGCAAGUCGAGGGGCAUCGGGAUUGAAGCUUGCUUCAAUUGCCGGCGACCGGCGCACGGGUGAGUAACGCGUAUCCAACCUUCCGUACACUCAGGGAUAGCCUUUCGAAAGAAAGAUUAAUACCUGAUGGUAUGAUGAAAUUGCAUGAUAGCAUCAUUAAAGAUUUAUCGGUGUACGAUGGGGAUGGCGUUCCAUUAGGUAGUAGGCGGGGUAACGGCCACCUAGCCUACGGAUGGAUAGGGGUUCUGAGAGGAAGGUCCCCCACAUUGGAACUGAGACACGGUCCAAACUCCUACGGGAGGCA